This 425-nucleotide ribosomal RNA is filed under the name uncultured bacterium. RNAcentral's name for it is "bacterial SSU rRNA". It matches the Rfam family "Bacterial small subunit ribosomal RNA", at positions 32 to 451 of the family's 1533-position model. The record is from RNAcentral.
AAUCAACGCUGGCGGCGUGCCUCAGACAUGCAAGUCGAACGAUUAAAGCUCUCUUCGGAGAGUGUAUAGAGUGGCGCACGGGUGAGUAACACGUAAGUAAUCUACCCUCGAGUGGGGAAUAACAACCGGAAACGGUUGCUAAUACCGCAUAAUGCAGCGGCACCGCAAGGUGACAGUUGUUAAAGAUUUAUCGCUUGAGGAGGAGCUUGCGGCAGAUUAGCUAGUUGGUAGGGUAACGGCUUACCAAGGCUACGAUCUGUAACCGGUCUAAGAGGACGGUCGGUCACACUGACACUGAAUAACGGGUCAGACUCCUACGGGAGGCAGCAGUCGGGAAUUUUGGGCAAUGGGCGAAAGCCUGACGCAGCCAAUCCGCGUGGGUGAUGAAGGCCUUCGGUUGUAAGACCUGUCGUGAGGGACGGAAG